UACGUAGGGGGCAAGCGUUAUCCGGAUUUACUGGGUGUAAAGGGGGCGCAGACGGCAGCGCAAGCCAGGAGUGAAAGCCCGGGGCCCAACCCCGGGACUGCUCUUGGAACUGCGCGGCUGGAGUGCAGGAGGGGCAGGCGGAAUUCCUGGUGUAGCGGUGAAAUGCGUAGAUAUCAGGAGGAACACCGGUGGCGAAGGCGGCCUGCUGGACUGCAACUGACGUUGAGGCUCGAAAGUGUGGGUAUCAA
Molecule: ribosomal RNA, 248 nt
Filed under: uncultured Blautia sp.
Lineage: Bacteria; Bacillati; Bacillota; Clostridia; Lachnospirales; Lachnospiraceae
Description: partial 16S ribosomal RNA
Rfam family: Bacterial small subunit ribosomal RNA
Source: RNAcentral